CCAUCCAUCCAGCCACCACUCCAUCAUCCACUCCAUCUCCACCACCCGCCGCUGCCAGCGCCGCAUCACCACCUCGAACCACUGCGCCAUCCAUCACCAUCUCCAGCACCGCCACCGCACACCAUCCAUCACCAUAUCCAACGCCACCACACCAUCCUCCAGUCCUCCUACUGCUACCCUCUUCUUCCUCACCUCUGUUGUUGCUCCCCUGAACCCGAACUCCUUCUCCAUCUCCAAACUGCAUGCUGCGCCUCUGCUGAAGCCUUCUCUGAACCUACUGCUGCUUCUCUUCUUCCCUCGCCUCAAACUGCUGUUGCUCUCUUCUCCCCUGCGCCUCCACGCUGCUUCUACUACUCCUUUCCCCUGCUGCCUCUUCUUCCCAAACCUUAUUGCCGCUCCUUCUCUGAACCUACUGCUACUCUUUCUCUGAACCUACUGCCGCUGCUCCUUCUCUGAACUUACUACUGCCCCUGCUGUCUCUCUCUUUCUCUCUGAACCCCUUUGCUGCUCCUCCUCCGCUCAACUUCCCUAACUUGCUGCGAAUAGGGCAAAAAGGCCUAUAAACUUCAAGAUUUGGACUAUGGGGCUAAUGAGAAGAGACAAGGGCAGGACAGAAAGAUGGAGGGACCCAAGUGUGAUGAACACUAAAGCUUGAAGGGUUUGCCUAAAUAAGAGGAGGACCAACUUGUGCAGAAGGAAGAAAAGGAGAGGGGCCAGAUUGCAAAGGGGAAGAUCUGAUCGAGGGGAUCAAAUCCCUAGCACUCUCAAUCCCCAAAUCGGGACUGGCAUCUCUCUCUUUCCCUUACCCUCCUUCUCCACCUUCGGCCGCCGCCAUGGCCAGGCCGGCGUGGUAGGUGCGCCACCAGCACCCAGCGCCAUCCAUCCAGCCACCACUCCAUCAUCCACUCCAUCUCCACCACCCGCCGCUGCCAGCGCCGCAUCACCACCUCGAACCACUGCGCCAUCCAUCACCAUCUCCAGCACCGCCACCGCACACCAUCCAUCACCAUAUCCAACGCCACCACACCAUCCUCCAGUCCUCCUACUGCUACCCUCUUCUUCCUCACCUCCGUUGUUGCUCCCCUGAACCCGAACUCCUUCUCCAUCUCCAAACUGCAUGCUGCGCCUCUGCUGAAGCCUUCUCUGAACCUACUGCUGCUUCUCUUCUUCCCUCGCCUCAAACUGCUGUUGCUCUCUUCUCCCCUGCGCCUCCACGCUGCUUCUACUACUCCUUUCCCCUACUGCCUCUUCUUCCCAAACCUUGCUGCCGCUCCUUCUCUGAACCUACUGCUACUCUUUCUCUGAACCUACUGCUGCUGCUCCUUCUCUGAACUUACUGCUGCCCCUGCUGUCUCUCACUUUCUCUCUGAACCCCUUCGCUGCUAGUCCUCCGCUCAACUUCCCUAACUUGCCGCUGCUGUUUCUCUCUCUCUCAAAUUUCUGUAAUCUUGAGUAGUAUAAUGUUUAGUAUUUUGUAAUGUUUAGAACUGAGAUUUGUAUGGCAUGUGUUGUUCAGAUUUGUCUAGUAGUACUGUUCAAUAUAUGUGCUCUGUUUAUCAACUAGUCAUUUGUAAGAACCUAGCUUACUUGUCUAUUUUUGUGUUGUUUGUGCUCUCUGUCAAGUGAGUAGUUUGAACAUCUUUAAUUCUUAGUCCAUGUGUUAGCUAUGUACGUGUGAGUAUAUAUAUGCUUGUGAUGUGAAGUA
This is a long non-coding RNA of Triticum dicoccoides, 1705 nucleotides long. RefSeq lists it as uncharacterized. The record is from RefSeq and is a predicted model, not a curated record. Lineage: Eukaryota; Viridiplantae; Streptophyta; Magnoliopsida; Poales; Poaceae. The transcript is spliced from 2 exons.